Molecule: ribosomal RNA, 459 nt
Filed under: uncultured bacterium
Lineage: Bacteria
Description: partial 16S ribosomal RNA
Rfam family: Bacterial small subunit ribosomal RNA
Source: RNAcentral
CCUACGGGAGGCAGCAGUGAGGAAUAUUGGUCAAUGGGCGGAAGCCUGAACCAGCCAAGCCGCGUGAGGGAUGAAGGUACAGAGUAUCGUAAACCUCUUUUGUCAGGGAACAAAGGCGGGGACGCGUCCCCGGAUGAGUGUACCUGAAGAAAAAGCAUCGGCUAACUCCGUGCCAGCAGCCGCGGUAAUACGGAGGAUGCGAGCGUUAUCCGGAUUUAUUGGGUUUAAAGGGUGCGCAGGCGGUCUGUUAAGUCAGCGGUCAAAGCCCGGGGCUCAACCCCGGCCCGCCGUUGAAACUGGCAGUCUCGAGUUGGAGAGAAGUAUGCGGAAUGCGCGGUGUAGCGGUGAAAUGCAUAGAUAUCGCGCAGAACUCCGAUUGCGAAGGCAGCAUGCCGGCUCCACACUGACGCUGAGGCACGAAAGCGUGGGUAUCGAACAGGAUUAGAUACCCCUGUAGUC